CACACACAUACCAGGUCACUUAUUUCCAGCAUGAACAGUCUGUCUCUCAAGGACCCAGACGGGUUCAGCAAUGGGAAGGAAGGAAGGAAGGAAGUGAGCACGGCGUAGUUAGCGGUGUAAUAAAUGUUUUGAGUGGACGACACGAUGCUAUUGACCUCCAGCUUGGCUUGGAAGACUUUCAGACCCUGGAUGGUUUCGAAACUAACAAUAGAAGAUGGAACAGAACCAGAACUAACAUGACUGCUUCCUUCUCAGCAGUCUAUCAGAACAAUUGCUGCACUAAAAGAAGAAAUCAUCUUUGCCUGGAACAACGUUGGUUCUGAUCCAUUGGGAAAUGUUCAACAUCAGCGUAUGCACAAGACACACACAUGACAGAACCACAUUAUAAGUCGAGGAGCAUCUCUGUUUUUAAUAGUGG
Clarias gariepinus (North African catfish) is the source of this 418-nucleotide long non-coding RNA. RefSeq lists it as uncharacterized. The transcript is spliced from 4 exons. NCBI's taxonomy places the organism in Eukaryota, Metazoa, Chordata, Actinopteri, Siluriformes, Clariidae. The record is from RefSeq and is a predicted model, not a curated record.